GUGGGGAAUAUUGGGCAAUGGGGGAAACCCUGACCCAGCAACGCCGCGUGAAGGAAGAAGGUUUUCGGAUCGUAAACUUCUAUCCUUGGUGAAGAUAAUGACGGUAGCCAAGAAGGAAGCCCCGGCUAACUACGUGCCAGCAGCCGCGGUAAUACGUAGGGGGCAAGCGUUGUCCGGAAUGAUUGGGCGUAAAGGGCGCGUAGGCGGCCUGGUAAGUCUGGAGUGAAAGUCAUGCUUUUAAGGUGGGAAUUGCUUUGGAUACUGUCGGGCUUGAGUGCAGGGGAGGUAAGCGGAAUUCCCGGUGUAGCGGUGAAAUGCGUAGAGAUCGGGAGGAACACCAGUGGCGAAGGCGGCUUACUGGACUGUAACUGACGCUGAGGCGCGAAAGUGUGGGGAGCAAACAGGAUUAGAAACCCUUGUAGUCC
This 425-nucleotide ribosomal RNA is filed under the name uncultured bacterium. RNAcentral describes it as "partial 16S ribosomal RNA". It matches the Rfam family "Bacterial small subunit ribosomal RNA", at positions 354 to 796 of the family's 1533-position model. The record is from RNAcentral.